Cynoglossus semilaevis (tongue sole) is the source of this 6369-nucleotide RNA transcript. It is a transcript of the gene named adenosine A1 receptor b, with no coding region annotated. The transcript has 4 exons. The record is from RefSeq and is a predicted model, not a curated record. NCBI's taxonomy places the organism in Eukaryota, Metazoa, Chordata, Actinopteri, Pleuronectiformes, Cynoglossidae.
CUGCAGGGAUUCUUGUCAUAAAUCCGGGCAAGACCACUUUCCAGAGUCCAUAAUAUUUUCUCUUAGCAGUGGCACUUUACUGCCUCUCCUCCUAUCAGAACAAUGGUCAGGAGUUCAAGGUCCUUUGGCAUAUGAGAGGGCGUGGGUAAGUGGGCGUGCAGAAGAAAACAAAUAGGACUUCAUUAUCACCUCUGCUCUAGAUGACUUCCCCGGGACGUCCCGCAGAACGCCUUGGCUGCGCGAUUUAAUCUCUGCAGCACCAAACACGACAAGUGGCGAGACUAGAAUGAUAUAGUUCUGUUAGUAGAGAUAGGAAAUCUGAAUGGAACAGUAGAAGUAGAAGGACUAUUCCUACCCCUGUUCGAUGCAACUGCACUAAUUAUUAUAAUUAUUAUUACCAAGAGUACGAAAGCGAAAGGAAGCUAUACCUGCGUAUUGGACCAUGCGCACUACUCUUCACAGAGCAGUUACUCAUCAUGGGGUAAACCCUGCUUUGACACAUUAAAACACGUAGACUACUGCUGCUGCUGCUAUUGCUGCUGCUGCUGCUGCUAUUGCUGCUACUGCUGCUGCUGCAGCUAAAGCGCCCUCUUGGAUCAGUCAGAGCGCACGGGUCGGACGGAUGCUGCUCUCAGCGCCUGGGCAGGUGCAUGGAGGCGCGGGACACUGAGCGUGAGAAAAGCCGAACUGCCUGCAGAUAAACAUAUUCCACAGAAGAGUUCUUUCAUCCUCAGAUGUGUGGCUUGGAAGGGCGCAAUUUUCAUUUGCAAAUCACUAAAUUUUCCUACAAUUCACACACGCGAUGACCAAACGAAGGUGGGAACCGUAGAAGUGAUGGAGGCGCAGCGCAUUUGGAAGACGGCGUUGUUGUAGUGAGACGCACAUAAAGGCUCGGAGAUCUCUGUUGGCCACUGCUUUGUUGGGUUCUCGGUAACAGGGCCACGGGUUAGUCAGAGUGAUGUCCGGUGGGCUUUUUUCCGAGCAGUCCCUCUACAUUGGGAUGGAGGUGCUGAUCGCAGUCGCGUCUGUUGUCGGGAACGUGAUGGUGGUCUGGGCGGUGAAAAUUAAUAAAUCGCUACGAGAUACCACCUUUUGUUUCAUCGUGUCGCUGGCUUUGGCGGAUAUUGCGGUGGGAGCCCUCGUCAUCCCCCUGGCCAUCAUGAUGAGCAUUGGACUUCAAACUCACUUUUACAGCUGCCUGCUCGGGGCGUGCACCGUGCUGGUGCUGACGCAAAGUUCAAUCCUCGCCCUGCUGGCCAUCGCAAUUGACCGCUAUCUCAGGGUCAAGAUCCCGACCAGGUACAAGCGAGUGGUUACCCCACGGAGAGCAGGAAUUGCAGUUGUGAUAUGUUGGACGGUGGCCUUUAUCGUGGGCCUGACGCCCAUGUUAGGCUGGAACAACCUGAACAAUCACCUUCAGCAAACUAACAACAGCAACUCCAACCUCAUCAUCACCUGCCUGUUUGAAAAUGUCAUCAGCAUGGACUACAUGGUUUACUUCAACUUCUUUGGAUGGGUGCUGCCGCCUCUGCUCCUCAUGCUGGUUAUCUACGCAGAAAUCUUCUACAUGAUCCACAAGCAGCUCAACAGCAAGAAGUUCACCAGCAACCACACGGAUCCCAACAAGUACUAUGACAAGGAGCUGAAUCUGGCCAAGUCCCUGGCUCUGGUCCUUUUCCUUUUUGCGAUCAGCUGGCUCCCUCUUCACAUUAUCAACUGCAUCUCACUCUUCUGCCCUGACUGUCAGAAGCCCAUAGUCCUGAUUUACAUCGCCAUUUUUCUCACACAUGGCAACUCUGCAGUCAACCCCAUUGUCUAUGCCUUCAGGAUUAAAAAGUUCCGCACAGCCUUCCAGAAAAUCUGGCAGCAGUACUUCUGCUGCAGGGACACAUCAGGUCUAGAGAUACAGCCCAGUGACAGGAAAGACAUGUCCCACAUGGAGCCAGUGCAGGCAGCGCCAACUCAGCCGACUCAGAAAGAAGUUGUUCAUUCUGAUCCACCGGAGCCUCAGCAGUCACCACCUGAGCAGCAGCAGCAAAACCAUUCGACAGAACCGCUGUAGCAGCCCAAAGAACAGCCGUUGUUACGCGAGGAAAACACUGUGUAAGCCAAGGCACAAGACUGAUUUCUGGAUGUAAAAGUAAUGAUCAGCGCACAGGCAUUGGCUCGCUCGUGUGCGGAGAGGUGCUAGCAUGCUGUCCUGGCGGUAAUUACAUGGACAGUACAUUUUGGGAGAUUGUUUUUCUUAAACUCCGGAGAAGUGAAUUAAUUGGACAAAGAAGGCUUAAAGGGUUUCGACUUAUACUGCAAUAACUCAAGUCUUUUUGACCAAGAUGCUGUCGGACUCUUAGUAUUGGACUGAAGAUAAUGAGCUUUAGCUGAUACGUUCGUUGUGGAUGACACGUGCAAUGUAAGUUAUUGUGGUAUGAGAUUAUGGAAUAUUUAAAGUAGAACUUUUUUUUUACGUAUAGUGGAGCUUCAUUCAUCUUACUACUGCAAUACUUUGCAUAUGUAAAACUAAGGCUGUAGGUAGCAGAAGAAUAUGAAUGUAAUGAUUAUGUAAAUAGGAGGAGGGUAACAGCACAGCUGUGAAUGCUCAUCUCUUCUUCAGGGUCUUUAUAGCACAACAGUGGCAGAACAAGCAGCACUACGGGAGUAAUCUGUACUGCAGGGCAGUUUGUACGUGCAGAUACAAGGCUUCUGUGAUGCCAUAAUUCUAACCCACCAGAGGAGAGUCCUUGGUGAUCCAACAGCACUGAUCUAUUAGAAGGAGAUGGCCAAUGAUAAGACAGCAGAGCUGACUGGAAUAGAAGCUUUCUAUUGUGCUGGCCAUUUGUGUCUGUAGGAGGGAAGCUGGUCGUGAGGGAGGGAAACAAAGAUGCACUCAAAGCUCAUGUUUACCCAGACUUCAUACCAGCUGGUGUGAAUGUGACCCCCUCCGCCCCCCCUUCUCCUUUUCUUUACCCGGACUGCUAAUAACUUAAUUACAAAUGACCACUAGAGACGAUGGCCUUAUUCUUUGUUCAAAUGAGUUUGGACUGGACCAGAAGAGUCGUCGCUGAGAUUCUCUCUUCUAGAUCCUCAGACUGCUGCUGUGAUAGAGUGCCAUCUGCUGGUGAAAGUUAUUUUCAGUACUUUACUGCAGUACAGAGUGACCGUCGGGGGAAAUGUCAGGUCUGAUCCGGCUUAGUGAUGAAGUCUAACAAGGUCACAGCUGGUUCUUUCAUUAAACUUCUCCCACCGGUCCUGAUGACCAGGUCAGCAUCUGCAGAUAUUUAUUCAAAUUCCUCCGAAGGCUCAUCCAGAGGACUGCUCAAGUCCUUGAAUGUCUUACUGAUUUUCCAGACACAUGUGGGAUCAGCAUAUGAAGCAAAUACAUAAUGUUCCACCGUACAGUGAAGUGUCACCCAAAUGCAGCCUCAGUAAACAUCCUCAGGGCAAAUCCUCCGAAAAAUUAAAAUUAAAAGCCACAGAUUGACACAUUCUUGUGACACGUUCGUUUUCCACUUAACACUUUUGUAAGGUGGCGGGGCCCAGGAUAUGGUACAGCUCUCACAGUUUACCAUAUAUAUGGAGAUAAACAACUGUUCAACUCAAACCUAUAGUCAAUCUGAAAUAAUCAAUAAACCUAAAACUCUAAUCACCACUCAGUGUUUUAACACCUUGGAUUCAAGCAGUGAUCGUGCUGUUGUGCAGUGGUUCUCAAAGUCUUUGGGCAUUCCUUAUUCCUUAGAGUUCAAUUGUGGGUCCUCUGGCAACUAUGUAUAGCACAGUGACAGUGUGUGUGUGUGUGUGUGAUUUCAUGUGAAUACAGGAACAUCUUUUGGAUCAGAAUUCCAUCAUCUCUGUGUGAGAUAAGCAGGAACUUCAAACAUUGUUUUUUUUGUUGUUUGUUUUGUUUACAACUCUGUCCUGACAGACGGGGUGGUGUGUGUGAUAUAAAUAGAUGAUAAAGUGUGCGUUCAUUGAAGUGCAAAUUUUUGUUUUUAGAUUUCAGUCUGCUGUGAGUCCAUUCCGUGGCAUCCUACAAAAUCCUAACAGAGAUGACGUGGACAGUAACAGUCUUGUAUCACACCAAAAUGGUCAUUGGUCCUAAUUAUUAACAAGGUUUGGUUCCAGAAAAAAAUAUUUGCUGCUUCAUGUUGUCGUCUUUUCUAAUAAAUGCAUAAAUAAAUAAAUAAAUACACACAAUAGUUGUGUUCUUGACUCCUUAGUAUAAAAACAGACUGUUGUAUGAUUUCUUUAUUGUUCAGUCAGCAGCUCCUUUGUGGAUGUUGUGAAAGGAGACGUGGAGAUGGUUGGUGUGAAGAAGAAGAAGAAGAAAGUCUGCAGCUCAGUCGGAGGUAAAGAGACAAAACAGAUGCUUUGGGUUGACCAACAGUUUGCAUGUAUUUAUACUCAAUGAAUUUGAAAAAACACUCCUCUAUACUACUAUAUAUACACUAAUACUAGACAUUGUUUCUUUUCUUUUGGUUCUUUCCUCGAGGAACCCCCUUCAGCCUCCUCCACAUCAACAGAAGCUACAUCCAUCAUGACCAGCGGGGGUCUUGCUGCUUCACUAAGACGAUGUCCAGCUCUGUGAUGACACAGUGUGCAACCUCAUGCUCAGCCUGCAGAAGGGGAAGUUUUUGAAGCCAGACACACAAAAAAGUGUCUUUUUCUGAGGUUCUGUGCCAGAUGUAUUUUGGGAGCAGAGUGGUGAAGCCAAAUUAAAUGUGGCAUUUGUUAAAAUACACGGAGCCAUAUUCAUUAAGGCUGUGACGCCAUGACAAAUUAGUGGCAGAUGUUUCCAAAGGACGCUCAGGGAACUGCUGAGAAGACGCAUAAAAAAGAAUAACCUUGCAUCAAAAAGCCUUGUGUCAAAGAUUCUGUUUGAAGCUGCUUCACUCUGAAUUAAACAUAACCUGUUCCAUACAGUACAUGGGUGUAAAAUAUACAUUUUAUUACCCGAGCCGGUACAUUUAUUGUUUGUACUCAGGCUUGUUGUUAAAAAUGCCAUUUAAAUAAUUACAGUCAUCAAACACAAACACUAUAGUUUCCUCCCACGGGUAAAAUAGUCAGUGCCCCAAAAAUCAAACAUGGCUGGACUGGGGGAUAAAUAAUGUCAUUCAGUUUAACUAUAUUCCAUUGUUUCCCAAAGACUGGGUCUCGACCCUCAGGUGGGUUGCAAGAGAUUUUUUUUUUUGGGUCGUCUCGCAUCAUGUUUCCCAGGAGUUUAAAAAUAAUGUCUAUUGACUUGGGUGGCGAAGGUUUGUGACUUUUGCAAUAUAGGUCCCCAGAAAAUAAGUUUAGGAAACACUGAUCUAUUCAGUGUCCAUUUAAAACAUUCAUUCUUUAUUUCCUAAUAUUCAAUACUAUGUUUAACAUUUCCACAUGAUAUACGGGAGACCUGUCCAAGUUGACCCCCUCUCCUCACCCAGUGAUCCUUAAGAUCAUCCCUGACCUCUAACAAAAAAUAAAAUGGUAUAAGACAAGGCGAUAAAUUUGUAUUAGCAUUACAACAUCAAUAACAAAUUAAAUAAAAAGAUCAUUCAAAAAGACGCACCAACAAGGAGAACAGAUGAGGUUCUUUAUUCAAAUACAAUUGAAGCAGAUAAAAUAAAAUAGCCAUGGGAAAAUUGCAUGUUGGCAGACGAUGAAUCAACAAAUGAUAAGUAUAAUCAUGCAACACUGAACGGUGUGGACAUAUAGGUUGACGAAUAUCCUCAAACACGUCAACAACGGGUUAGCAAAUGGGGUGGAAAUUUGAAACCAUAUGUUCUAUAUCAACCACAUCAGGAAACCAUAUGAGGAAGUGCUCACCUCCUCAUUAAACCACACAUUGCUCAACCACUUAAUUUGGAAAUUCAUAUGAACACCAUAUUCUUUACUACAAGUAAAUACUAUUACUUUAGUAUAAGGUAAAGAACCGGACAGUCUGCAAAUGAUGAUUCACUGCAAUGGAUCAUCAUUAAUCAGAUGAGUUUAAUCUCAUCUACAUCUAAACAUUAGAUUAGAUUAGAUGACUGAUUCAUUUUAGGUUUGAUCAUCCCACAUGGGGAAAUUGUCAUGUUGCAGCAACAAAUGACAGUUGAAUAGAUGAGAAAAUAAAUACAAGAUAAAAAUGUAAAGGAAAGUAAUUAAACAAUGUUUUAAAAAGUAUAGAAAUACCAGAAUACUACAAAUUUGGAAGAUAUUUGUUUUCAAAAAUGUACACAAAAUACAUUUCUUUAAUCUACAUUAUUGCUGCAUGUAUUGUUUUGUUAAAUACUGAUUACUCCUCCAGUACAUCGAGGUAAUGUUUCGGGCGUAAAACUCCCUUUUGUACAUCUGUAAAAACUAUGGAAAACAAACAUUAAUAAUUAGUUACAUCUCAGGUCAGGUGGUGCU